This 443-nucleotide ribosomal RNA is filed under the name uncultured bacterium. RNAcentral's name for it is "partial 16S ribosomal RNA". It matches the Rfam family "Bacterial small subunit ribosomal RNA", at positions 338 to 795 of the family's 1533-position model. The record is from RNAcentral.
CCUACGGGAGGCUGCAGUGGGGAAUAUUGGACAAUGGGGGGAACCCUGAUCCAGCGACGCCGCGUGAGUGAAGAAGUAUUUCGGUAUGUAAAGCUCUAUCAGCAGGGAAGAAAGAAAUGACGGUACCUGACUAAGAAGCCCCGGCUAACUACGUGCCAGCAGCCGCGGUAAUACGUAGGGGGCAAGCGUUAUCCGGAUUUACUGGGUGGAAAGGGAGCGUAGACGGCGAUGCAAGUCUGAAGUGAAAGGCGGGGGCCCAACCCCCGGACUGCUUUGGAAAGUGUAUGGCUGGAGUGCAGGGGAGGUAAGUGGAAUUCCUAGUGUAGCGGUGAAAUGCGUAGAUAUUAGGAGGAACACCAGUGGCGAAGGCGGCUUACUGGACUGUAACUGACGUUGAGGCUCGAAAGCGUGGGGAGCAAACAGGAUUAGAUACCCUUGUAGUC